GGUCAAGCUACAAAGAGCUAACGGUGGAUACU
This 32-nucleotide ribosomal RNA is filed under the name Lyngbya aestuarii PCC 7419. Its description in RNAcentral is "partial 23S ribosomal RNA". The record is from RNAcentral. RNAcentral also lists the same sequence under 1 other name. Lineage: Bacteria; Bacillati; Cyanobacteriota; Cyanophyceae; Oscillatoriales; Microcoleaceae.